CCCGACUGCUAUUUGGGUGAGGAUAAGCCAUGCCAGUCGUAUGGGAUACCUAAACUUCCCAUGGCAAACUGCUCAGUAACACAUGAUUAACUUACCCUAAAGAAAAUAAUAACCUCGGGAAACUGAGGAUAAUAAUUUAUAGUUGAGAAGGCUUGGAAAAGUUUUUCAAUGAAAUGGAUAAGAAAAAUGGUUCUUAUCUGCUUUAGGAUAGGAUCGUGGUCGAUUAUGGCUGUUGGUGAGGUAACGGCUCACCAAACCUAUAAUCGAUAAGGGCCGUGAGAGCGGGAGCCCUGAGAUGGGUCCUGAGACAAUGACCCAGGCCUUACGAGGCGCAGCAGGCGCGAAACCUCCGCAAUACACGAAAGUGUGACGGGGUUACCCAAAGUGUUCAUUUAUGGACUGUGGUAGGUGAGUAAUGUCCCCUACUAGAAAGGAGAGGGCAAGGCUGGUGCCAGCCGCCGCGGUAAAACCAGCUCUUCAAGUGGUCGGGAUAAUUAUUGGGCUUAAAGUGUCCGUAGCCGGUUUAGUAAGUUCCUGGUAAAAUCGGAUAGCUUAACUAUCUGUAUGCUAGGAAUGCUGCUAUACUAGAGGGCGGGAGAGGUCUGAGGUACUACAGGGGUAGGGGUGAAAUCUUAUAAUCCUUGUAGGACCACCAGUGGCGAAGGCGUCAGACUGGAACGCGCCUGACGGUGAGGGACGAAAGCCAGGGGAGCGAACCGGAUUAGAUACGUUGGUGUUAUUUGAAUGUAAUGUAAGAAUUACUAACACAAUGCUAAAAACCCGGGUAGUCCUGGCCGUAAACGAUGCAUACUAGGUGAUGAUACGGCCAUGAGCCGUGUCAGUGCCGUAGGGAAACCGUUAAGUGUGCCGCCUGGGAAGUACGGUCGCAAGGCUAAAACUUAAAGGAAUUGGCGGGGAGCACCACAAGGGUGAAGCCUGCGGUUC
Molecule: ribosomal RNA, 945 nt
Filed under: uncultured archaeon
Lineage: Archaea
Description: bacterial SSU rRNA
Rfam family: Archaeal small subunit ribosomal RNA
Source: RNAcentral